UUAUCUCAAUUUUACAAAUGAGACAGCUGAGCCCGCAGGAUCGCUGCAGAGCUCCUGGUAGUAAAUGCAGGCCUCUCCUGGAAGAUGACAGUGAUUGAACAGUACUCAAGGGUCCUCCUCUGUCAUCACUCCACGGAAACGGCUCCUCAACCGGUUAACCCCAGUAGCUGGGCUCGUCACGUGAGAGCUGCCAUUUAGAUUCAGACACUGUGACUCCGGAAGGCCUCUAGGAAAGUGCAAGUUGUCUUCCUAGCUAGGCAGGGGCCCAGGAUUCUUGUCUCCCUCUAACCGAUGAGCCUGUGUUAGCUGCUCUGCGCUCUCUAGACAAGCUCAGCUAAUCUUAAAAGCAGAGGCCACGGCUGCUACUCCCAGUGAACGGGACCUAGGACAGACAUGCUAGAGGAAAAAUUCAGGAAUCUCAGGGAGGACAGGCCAAGAAAGAAAACGCAGAGGACACCAGAGUCAGAGCCAGGGGUUCUGACGGGGGCGAUGUACUGUUGACGUCCUUCUGCACAAUGGAAAAUAACAGAUUUUCUGAAAGUAUAUAAAUAAGAAUAAUUCUUGGAAUGCACAAAAGUCUGUACAGGGCAGAGCUUCAAUCAUUAUUUGAUGAUUUGAGAAGCACAGGUAUAGAGAACUUCCAAGGGCCGUCUCUCGGAAAUUGACCCCUGUGUGGAGGAAAUAUAAAGAGUAUUUGCCAGCUCUCUCAAGGUUCCUGGGGAUGAAGCACUGGCUUGAAAGCCCUCACUGGGGCUGCGGUGGGGGAAGGUUUUUUGUCCUGCCUGGAUUUGGCUUCUGAAACUGCUCUGUCAUCGUGCUACAAUCCAAAGCUCAGAGGAGGACACGGCUGAGAGUUACUGCAGGGAAGCAAAGCUGCAGCCCUGGCACCAGGGAGCCAUGAGCCAGCUCUUCCGAC
RNAcentral lists this long non-coding RNA (916 nucleotides) under Equus caballus (horse). Its description in RNAcentral is "lncRNA (ENSECAG00000053371.1)". The record is from RNAcentral. Lineage: Eukaryota; Metazoa; Chordata; Mammalia; Perissodactyla; Equidae.